AUGGUUUCUCCUUUCAGCCCGCUUGCUUGUUUGUUAAUGUCCAUCUUUUUUGAACUAUCAUGCAGAAACUUUAAUCUAUUGUGCAGAAUACAUUUCUUCAGAGAAACCGUUGGUCGUGUGCAGAAUAUAUUUCUUCAGAAAAUGUGUUAUUGUGCAGAAACUACAAUGAAGUUGUCGGGGAGAAGAUCCAGUGAACUCGGCUACAUCGGGUUGGGUCAAAGUGACUGUAAUUCGCAACAGCAGUGCCACGGUUCAGUUCAGCAUGGGGACCAACUACCUCUACAAUGUCCACUCCUACUGGUCUCUGACCUGUCAAACAAGAAGACAUGGUGCAGCUAG
This 339-nucleotide ribosomal RNA is filed under the name Triticum aestivum (bread wheat). RNAcentral describes it as "partial small subunit ribosomal RNA". The record is from RNAcentral. Lineage: Eukaryota; Viridiplantae; Streptophyta; Magnoliopsida; Poales; Poaceae.